This 146-nucleotide small RNA is filed under the name Gopherus agassizii (Agassiz's desert tortoise). RNAcentral describes it as "TUC338 (ENSGAGG00000002714.1)". Lineage: Eukaryota; Metazoa; Chordata; Testudines; Testudinidae. The record is from RNAcentral.
UUCACAGCCCUGGACACUGAAGUCCUUUCUGAAUCCACAGAACAGAUGCAACUUACGCAGCGAAGAAUAACCUGCCCAAUGUUCCUCAUGCUUUGAGAGCUGAGAGGGUAUGUUAUUUUCCAUACCAAGUCCAUCCCUUGGCAUCU